This is a long non-coding RNA of Acanthaster planci (crown-of-thorns starfish), 2191 nucleotides long. The record is from RefSeq and is a predicted model, not a curated record. NCBI's taxonomy places the organism in Eukaryota, Metazoa, Echinodermata, Asteroidea, Valvatida, Acanthasteridae.
UCAAGACUGCAUAAACUCAUGUCGCCCACGUCAACGACCACAAUUAAUCUACAUAAAAGCUAGACAUGCCAAUUUCUGCCAGACUUCCGAAAAUGCUACGCAACAGCUGAGGUGAAAUUAUUCCAUUUUGGAGGCUGUUGACUAAUCAAUAGUUUGUAAACGAGAAAAGCGUCGGAGAUAUUUGGGUGUAAACCGGGCAGAAAAAUGAAUAGGCCCUUCGAUUCAUCGUCAUCCGUCAGCUGCACUCGGGCCAGCUGUUGGGUGCAAAUGAGCUGGAUUCGCAUUCGUUUCUGUGAAGGUUGACUUAUCUGCCAACAUGUGCACAUCGUAGUCAGCAGCAUGGAAAUCACUCAGCUUCAGCAAGAGAUCGAUAUUCAAGGUAAAUAACGUCAACGCUGUUGUGCAACGCCUACAGUUUAUAGACUGGAUCGAAUCCGACAGUGAAAUCGCUUGGAUUCAAGAGUGCCUGCUGCCAGAGAAGGAUCGUGUUUGUAUUUUUGUCACAAUGCACUUCGUCGUGUCAUUAAAGUCGCUCCUACUUGUCAUCCUGAUUAUCAAGCAGUUUGAAGGAGGUCAAGGGAUGGCUAUUGACCAUGUGGCGAAUGCUAAGUGCAAUGGAGUCUACGUUGGGCGUCGCUGUGGCAAUGAUGUUUGUGGGAAAAGCAUCGGAUGUACUCAAUUCCGAUGUAACCUGCAAAAUCUCAAGUGUAAGGUGGACUUUGCUCAACGGAUCUUCAAAAAGGCGUGAGUUCACCGUAUAAAGGAACGAUAUUCAGAUCCACAGUCGUGUGGGGAUCGGCACUAAAAGGCUUUGAAGGAAAUGCUGGAAACAACUCGUAUUUUAUGACAACAACUAUACCAAGCGAGGAUUAAAUGUAGUUGAAUUUAGUCUUAAAUUCGGUCAUUAAUCAGCUAUGUGGUUGUUUUGACUCAGUUUUGCAUUUGUAUGUCUGUUUACCGAGUUCUUCAGACGUAAAAACCAAGACUUUCUGAUUUAACGACAAAAGGUAUAUUUCAGGGUUUAUUAUUUGUGACAGAUAUAAUAAGAGAGCCCAAGCACUUAAAAGAUGAUCUUCUUUGAAUAUUAAGAAUGAUUGGGGGAAUUCAGAUGGUUCCAGGGAAAGUCAACAAGAGAAAAAUCCAAACAAAGCGUUCUUGUGUCAUAUUUGACGGCAAAUACAAUUCUGCUUGACUCGUUUUUGUUUUGUUUAAUCGGAUUUGGUUUUAGGCCAGAGUUGGUGGAAUAACAGCUAGUCUAGGUUGUUGAGUGGUUACAUCCGUGUACGGGAUUGCACUCACAGUCUUUGUGUAUCAACACUCAUUCAGCGCGCUCGAUAUACUCCUCCCUCGCGUUUAGGAGGUCAUGCGGAUCGACCUCGGUAACGUUAUACAUGAAGUGCCCAGACCAGGGUAAGAGGCCAUACACGAUUAAAUUUUGAAAAUGAAAUUGAAGAAUUCGAAAGCAACAGACACAUGCUUCUUGCCUUUCCUUCACAGAACUUAGUUAAUGGACAGAUUUGUUCCUACAUUCAACCAUUUGAAUUAUUUUCAACGGUUUCAACUUUCCUUCAGGACUUUAUACUGGUUCCUGUCCCAUUUACGUAGUCUCCGGGCGUCUUGUAGGCGCCCUCCGAACGCAAGGACCGGUAGCUGGUAGCCACUUUUGUUUUCUUAGGAAGGUUAGGGGAAAUUAUAAUAAAAUGGGCGUAUCUUAAUCGUUGCGCAUGAGUUUUUCGUCUGGGAAGGUUGGGGCAAUUAUCAGAAAAUGAGGUACACAAACUUUUAAGUAUAAGGCUCAGCAAAAUUGCUUUCCUGACAAACUUGCAUGGCAGCUCUGUUAGAAGAGCGUCAUGCUUAGAGGGAAAAACCCAAGGGUUCGAAUCUAUAUAUAGCCAUUUUUUCUUGGUGGGGAAUUAGUUAGUUGGAUGAUGUUUUUAUAAUAGGAAAGUAAAGCCCGACAUUUACCUUAGCACUUCAGUUUCUAAGUGUCCACUAAAUUGAUCGAGCAUGCGGUUAACCACACCCAUUAUGAUAAUUACCCAUUACCUUCCUAGAGUAACGAAUCCCACAGAAUCCUGCCCGGUGUAUGUAAAUCAAAACGAUGCUCACCCGAUAGACAAAAUCAAGCAGGAGCUGAUAGCACAUUUUGCUUUUUCUUCUACUAAGUUACCGAAAAUAACUUCACCAUAAA